GUCGCCAUAUUGGCCCUCCUCAGGGGACGUUGUUACAGUCAUUAGGUGGGACGCUUUAGCGGAGUCCUGCAGCUCAACAGGUGUCAGAGCCAAGGCAUUCGGCGCGCAGUUCCGCAUCAACACUAGGACUUGUUUGCGUCUUCAUUUAACUGCCCCUAUAAAGUACCUCUCAAAUCUUACCCCCCUCCCGGGUGGUCGGACAGGCGGGCAGAUGCCUCAAUGUCGCUGCAAGCCCUGGGAAUGCAGGCGGGACGAGAUCUGGUGACAGCACUCACCGAAUAAGUUAAUACUGAGCUGACCAAUAUGCAGAGUCUCCGUGAGACUCCAGAAAACGCGAUUUUAUUAAGUUCCCCCAGACAAAGGCGCUAACCACUUAAACGACUGGUUAACUUUUCAAGCCUUGAGGCUAAAGUGCGGAUAAGUCACUUCCAUUUUUUCCCCCUUAAUAGUAAAUACCGCCUAUGCAUAAAGCAAGAUAGCUGAGCUCCAGCUUUUUGCAAUCACGAAGGUUAAGAAACUUUACUGCAGGCACCUGGAUUUCUGGCCUCCUCUUUAUCCGUGUUUUGGUGGAGCCGGCCUUAAUAGCUUGUCAAUGACACGAUGAGGUCAUGUCCUUCAGUAUUUGUAUCUUAUAUGUUGUCACCUGCUUAUAUGUUCUUAUGUUUUAAAAUGUGAAUUCUCCUAAACUAUUUUAAGCCCUUUGAAGGUAAGAACUGAGGCCUCUGCUGCUUUAAACAGGUAAAAAGGUGAAGUGAUUGCUGACUGCCUACCGUGUUAGGUGCCUAAGUCAGGGAGGCAGUUAGUAUUCCAUGUCAUCCUUAAAAGGAAGAUUUUAUUAAGUAUCAGCUAUAUUAUGUAUUUUAUAAGUGAAGACAUUUAGGCUGAGAAGUGACUUACCCAAGGUCACAAAGCAAAUGAGUUGUAGUGUUAGAUUCCAACCCAGAAUAGUUCCACCAAAAGUUUUCUAUAAAUUCUUGAGGGAAUUAAACUGCCGCCGGGCGCAAUGGCUCAGACCUGUAAUCCCAGCACUAUGGGAGGCCGAGGCGGGCGGAUCGCUUGAGCCCAGGAGUUAAAGACCAGCCUGGGCAACAUGGUGAAACCCCGUCUCCACAAAAAAUAACAAAAAUUAGCCAGACGUGGUGAUGUGCGCCAGUAGUCCCAGCUACUCGGGAGGCUGGGGUGGAAGAAUCGCUUGAACCCAGGAGGUUGAGGCUGCAGUGAGCUCAAAUCCUGCCACUGCACUCCAGCCAGGACAACAAAGCAAGACCUUGCUCCAAAAUAAGUAAAUAUAUAGACUGGGCGCGGUGGCUCAUGCCUGUAAUCCCAGCAUUUUGGGAGGCCGAGGCAGGCG
This 1351-nucleotide long non-coding RNA is filed under the name Homo sapiens (human). RNAcentral describes it as "non-protein coding lnc-SP7-4:1". The record is from RNAcentral. Lineage: Eukaryota; Metazoa; Chordata; Mammalia; Primates; Hominidae.